AGAGUUUGAUCCUGGCUCAGAUUGAACGCUGGCGGCAUGCCUUACACAUGCAAGUCGAACGGCAGCGCGGGGCAACCUGGCGGCGAGUGGCGAACGGGUGAGUAAUAUAUCGGAACGUACCCUGGAGUGGGGGAUAACGUAGCGAAAGUUACGCUAAUACCGCAUACGAUCUAAGGAUGAAAGUGGGGGAUCGCAAGACCUCAUGCUCCUGGAGCGGCCGAUAUCUGAUUAGCUAGUUGGCGGGGUAAAAGCCCGCCAAGGCAACGAUCAGUAGCUGGUCUGAGAGGACGACCAGCCACACUGGAACUGAGACACGGUCCAGACUCCUACGGGAGGCAGCAGUGGGGAAUUUUGGACAAUGGGCGCAAGCCUGAUCCAGCAAUGCCGCGUGAGUGAAGAAGGCCUUCGGG
RNAcentral lists this ribosomal RNA (410 nucleotides) under uncultured bacterium. Its description in RNAcentral is "bacterial SSU rRNA". It matches the Rfam family "Bacterial small subunit ribosomal RNA", at positions 8 to 422 of the family's 1533-position model. The record is from RNAcentral.